RNAcentral lists this ribosomal RNA (253 nucleotides) under uncultured bacterium. RNAcentral's name for it is "partial 16S ribosomal RNA". It matches the Rfam family "Bacterial small subunit ribosomal RNA", at positions 524 to 776 of the family's 1533-position model. The record is from RNAcentral.
GACGUAGGCAGCAAGCGUUGUUCGGAAUUACUGGGCGUAAAGAGUGUGUAGGCGGUGCUCUAAGUUCGGUGUGAAAUCUCCCGGCUUAACUGGGAGGGUGCGCCGGAAACUGGAGUGCUCGAGCGUGGGAGAGGAAAGCGGAAUUCCUGGUGUAGCGGUGAAAUGCGUAGAUAUCAGGAGGAACACCUGCGGUGUAGACGGCUUUCUGGACCAUUGCUGACGCUGAGACACGAAAGCGUGGGUAGCAAACAGG